CAGCCGCCACGGUAAUACGAAGGUCCCGAGCGUUGUUCGGAAUCACUGGGCGUAAAGGGAGCGUAGGCGGCGUGGUAAGUCAGAUGUGAAAUCCCGGGGCUCAACCCCGGAACUGCAUCCGAUACUGCCAUGCUAGAGGAUUGGAGAGGUAGCUGGAAUUCUUGGUGUAGCAGUGAAAUGCGUGGAGAUCAAGAGGAACACUCGUGGCGAAAGCGAGCUACUGGACAAUAACUGACGCUGAGGCUCGAAGGCCAGGGUAGCGAAAGGGAUUAGAGACCCCCGUAGUCCCUGUCUCUUAUAC
This 301-nucleotide ribosomal RNA is filed under the name uncultured bacterium. RNAcentral's name for it is "partial 16S ribosomal RNA". It matches the Rfam family "Bacterial small subunit ribosomal RNA", at positions 509 to 807 of the family's 1533-position model. The record is from RNAcentral.